AGCCCCGCCGACGCCGACCAGCUAACCGGACUGGGCUGCGCGCGGAGCCCCCUCUUCCCGUGCACAGUGCGGGGCGAGGCUUGGCGAGCGGUGGGUCUGCGCCUUCCCAAGGGCAAUAUGAUGGGCACCGGGCAGAACUUGGAAAAAUAACUACAAAGCCAGCCCCGAGCCGUGGCUAUUGGUAGGGACAGCCCUGCCACCCCGCAGGCAAAGGCAUCCAGCCAUCUAGUUCCCUGCCACCGCCCCCUCCACCCGCCAACUUUGAGAUGGUUCAACCUCUUGACUUUGGAAUUAAAAUGCACAGCCCCAGCCACCCCAAGGAAGCGCUUAGAGCCACAAGGCGCUUUCGUGUUGAGCAGGGAAAGAUGGGCAGGUGUGCGAGACACGCAUUUCGGUGUGCCCUGCCACAUUGCUUGCAGCGUUGGCGCGUUUGGACAGCGCCUCCGGUUUGGGGCUCUGAGGCCGGGGAGUGCGCCCUCCAGCUUCGCGGGUCUGGGGUUCCCAGGGCCAGACCAGCCGCUACACUCUGCACACCAAUGCGCCCUCCAGGCCUGCCGGUCGCGACGUCCUUCUCCGCUCUCAGCACAGGCGCCAAGCCGGGAGUCAGGGCUUCCGGGUCCAGCUGCUGACAGAAGGAGGAGCGAGCUGCACUGGGGCUUCAGCACCGAGUCCAGAGGGAGAGAGAGGCGAGCGGGGUGAGCGGCCACCGGCGAGCUGGGGUUCGCUGCACACCCAUCACCACAGACAUUUCAAAAAGAAUCAAGCCUUUUGAAGUCUGCCAGAGCUGCGGUUUGUUAAUUGACACUGUUCAACUGAGUGACAAUUGUUCCGCUCAGUGGGGGCCAUCCACUCCCUUCCUCUCUCCCCCUCCUUUUUUUUUUUUUUUUUCUUAUAAAAUAGGAAUUAACUC
RNAcentral lists this long non-coding RNA (910 nucleotides) under Homo sapiens (human). RNAcentral's name for it is "HSALNT0399924". Lineage: Eukaryota; Metazoa; Chordata; Mammalia; Primates; Hominidae. The record is from RNAcentral.